RNAcentral lists this ribosomal RNA (871 nucleotides) under uncultured rumen bacterium. RNAcentral's name for it is "bacterial SSU rRNA". It matches the Rfam family "Bacterial small subunit ribosomal RNA", at positions 8 to 865 of the family's 1533-position model. The record is from RNAcentral.
AGAGUUUGAUCCUGGCUCAGGACGAACGCUGGCGGCGUGCCUAACACAUGCAAGUCGAGCGGGGACAUGCGACGGAGACAAAGUACUCGUACGGAGUCAAAGAUGUAUGUUCUAGCGGCGGACGGGUGAGUAACGCGUGAGCAACCUGUCCCUUACAGGGGGAUAACACAGCGAAAGUUGUACUAAUACCGCAUAAGACCACGGGAUGACAUCGUCCAGGGGUCAAAGGAGCAAUCCGGUAAGGGGUGGGCUCGCGUCCGAUUAGAUAGUUGGUGAGGUAACGGCCCACCAAGUCGACGAUCGGUAGCCGACCUGAGAGGGUGAUCGGCCACAUUGGGACUGAGACACGGCCCAAACUCCUACGGGAGGCAGCAGUGGGGAAUAUUGGGCAAUGGGGGGAACCCUGACCCAGCAACGCCGCGUGAGGGAAGAAGGUUUUCGGAUCGUAAACCUCUGUCCCAGGUGAAGAGGAAGAGACGGUAGCCUGGGAGGAAGCCCCGGCUAACUACGUGCCAGCAGCCGCGGUAAUACGUAGGGGGCGAGCGUUGUCCGGAAUGAUUGGGCGUAAAGGGCGCGUAGGCGGCCCGGUAAGUCUGGAGUGAAAGUCCUGCUUUUAAGGUGGGAAUUGCUUUGGAUACUGUCGGGCUUGAGUGCAGGAGAGGUAAGUGGAAUUCCCAGUGUAGCGGUGAAAUGCGUAGAGAUUGGGAGGAACACCAGUGGCGAAGGCGACUUACUGGACUGUAACUGACGCUGAGGCGCGAAAGUGUGGGGAGCAAACAGGAUUAGAUACCCUGGUAGUCCACACUGUAAACGAUGAAUGCUAGGUGUAGGGGGUAUCGACCCCUUCUGUGCCGCAGUAAACACAAUAAGC